Anolis sagrei ordinatus is the source of this 926-nucleotide non-coding RNA. The record is from RefSeq and is a predicted model, not a curated record. Lineage: Eukaryota; Metazoa; Chordata; Lepidosauria; Squamata; Anolidae.
CUCUCUUCUGCGCAUGCGCGCUUCUCUUCUCCAGGGCGGGAGGGAGGCGUGCUACGGGGCGCGGCGAGGGUCACAGCAUGGCGACGGCGAGCGGAGGAGGCGGCGGCGGAGGGGCGAGCGGGGCGAGUGGCUACGGGCUGGGCUUGGCCAACGAGCGCCUCCGGAUCCUGGAAGAGCUGGAGCGGGAGAUCGGGGCGGCGCUGCAGAGCGCGGGCACGGUGAUCCUGGAGCUGUCCAAGGAGAAGCCCAACGAGCGCCUGCUGGACCGCCAGGCCGCCCAGUUCGUGGCCUCCGUCCAGAAGGUCGAGUCCGAGCUCUCCGCACAGAUACGGUACCUCACACAGGUAAAGAGGCGGGGCCAUCGUCGCACGGGGGCGGGGCCAGGGCUGGGGGCGGGGCUAUGGGCUUGGAGGCGGAGCCAGGGACAGGUGGGCGGGGUCAUGGCCUAGUGGGCGGGGCUAUAUACCCAUCCAGGCCGCCCAGUUCGUGGCCUCCGUCCAGAAGGUCGAGUCCGAGCUCUCCGCACAGAUACGGUACCUCACACAGGUAAAGAGGCGGGGCCAUCGUCGCACGGGGGCGGGGCCAGGGCUGGGGGCGGGGCUAUGGGCUUGGAGGCGGAGCCAGGGACAGGUGGGCGGGGUCAUGGCCUAGUGGGCGGGGCUAUAUACCCAUCCAGGCCGCCCAGUUCGUGGCCUCCGUCCAGAAGGUCGAGUCCGAGCUCUCCGCACAGAUACGGUACCUCACACAGGUGGCCACGGGGCAGCCCCACGAGGGGUCCAGCUACUCUUCGCGCAAGGACUGCCAGAUGGCCCUCAAGCGGGUGGACUACGCGCAGGUCAAGCUGGGGGAGCUCUCAAGGACCUGCGAGCAGAUGCUGGAGCCCUAGCCCCUCCGCCCAGGGAGAAGAAGGAAAGAGGGGGGGCUCU